AUCUUUCCAAGCAAACAAGACUCGCAUGUGUCAUCUUCCCUAAGGUCGAAUGACUCCAACACUCCAUCCUUUUGGAGUUGGGCUAUGCGCUUCUUGUUGACAUGUCCAAGACGACAAUGCCACAAGGAUGCUUUAUCCAUACUAUUGGAAGAAUCUAUGUUCAAAACAUCAUUUCCUAAGUUAUCAACAAUCAUAACAGUUUCAUAAAUUCCAUUACACGGUAUUGCUUCAAAAUAAAAGACACCAUUUAGAUAAGCCAAAAUAGAACCAUUCUCAUUAUUAAAAGAAAAUCUAAAUCCUUGUCUAUAUAAACCAUGAAAUGAAAUGAUGUUUCUUGUCAUUUCUGGCGAAUAGCAACAAUUGUUCAAAUCUAAACACAAACCAUUCCUAAGCACUAAAGAAUACACUCCAAUCUUGGUCACAGGCGACGAUCUUUUGUUCCCCAUGAUUAGAUUUAUUCUUCCAUGCUCCAUAUCCCUAUUUCUUCUUAGUCCCUGCAAUUCAGAACAAAUAUGGUAACCACAACCGGUAUGAAGGACCCAAGAAAUAGCAUGAGAUGAAUCGUUAGAUUUAAAUUUAUAAGUACCUGCAAAAGAUGGCUUGAUCUUCCCUUCCCUUAUGGCUUGCAGGUAGUCUGGGCAGCUUCUCUUCCAAUGCCCUAUUUUAUGGCAAUGAUGGCACUCUGCCUCCUUAGGGUUAGGACAGGGUUUAGCAGGAUCAACUUUGGUCCCACUAGAAGAGGAACCAUCUCGGGACUUUCCCUUGCGGUGGCUCUUAGACGGAGCCUUCCUCUUCUUGCCUCUUCCUUGCCCAAUGGCCAAAACAGGAGCAGCAGGUGGAUUGGGAGUGGGUGCAACGGACUUGUCCUUGAGGUUGCUUUUAGCAACCCUAAGGAGACAUUGGAGCUUACUUAGAGUGACCUCUUUCUUGUUCAUGUGGUAGGUCAUCCUAAAUUGAUUAUAACACNGUGGUGGCACUCUGCCUCCUUUGGGUUAGGGCAGGGUUUAGCAGGAUCAACUUUGGUCCCACUAGAAGAGGCACCAUCUCGGGGCUUAACCUUGCGAUGGUUCUUAGAUGAAGCCUUCCUCUUCUUUCCCCUUCCUUGUCCAAUAGCCAAAACAGGAGCAGCGGGUGGAUUGGGAGUUGGUGCAACAGACUUGUCCUUGAAGUUGCUCUCAGCGACCCUCAAGAGACCUUGGAGCUUGCUUAGGGUGACCUCUUCUUUGUUCAUGUGGUAGGUCAUCCUAAAUUGAUUGUAACUUGGAGGCAAAGAGUGAAGCACCAUGUCGAUCGCCAAGUCUUCCCCAAAGUCAACAUUCAACUUGCGAAGACGGUCGACAUACCUUUGCAUCUUUUGCAGGUGCACGGUAAGAGAUUCUUCAUGACCUAUUUUAGCGGAAAUCAUGUUAGUGAAAAUCUCAUAACGCUCUUGUCUCGCGUUUUGGUGGUAUCUCUCCAACAAGUCUUGGUGCAUCUCGUACGGGUACAUGUCCUCAUAGGACUUUUGGAAUUCGGAGUUCAUAGUGGCUAUCAUGAUGCAAUGUACCUUCGUUGCAUCACGCUCGUGAGUUUCAAAAGCGGUCAUUUCAGCCGGAGUAGCGAUUUCAGGGUUGAUUUUCUCGAGCUUCUCAUCGAGGACAUACUCCUUGUCCUCAUAGCGAGCAAUAGUGCGAAUGUAUCUUAUCCAUUCGCUAAAGUUCGUCCCAUCGAAAGUGACCUUUUGACAAAGGCUCAUCAAUGUGAAUGAACUAGCAGCAGCGUUGUUUGCGUUCGACAUCUACAAAUAGAAAGGACAAAGAUAGAUUAGAAUAUGAAUCCCUAAUUAUCACCCAAUAAGAAAAUUAGGGCUAAGAUCCAACAACAAUGUUUACAUAUUAGAAAAGGAAUGUCGUAAUCUAACAUGCAAAUAAUAUGAAAGUAAGUGAAUGACGAUUCACUAAUUCUCCACCACAAAACAUAACUUUAAGUUCUAAAUGUAUUGAGAAUUCCUAGGUUUAGAUGAGAUUCAUUGAAACUUUUCAAUGGCAUGUUUAAAUCUCGAUAUGCCCCUCUUGUUUGUGACUGGGAUACCGAGGAUCACAAAGCGGGUGUGAAUUACCAUGCAAAUUCACAUGGUGCCUUCAUUGUAACGAUCACCUAUUCGAUGUGCCGGUAAACCACACACGCUCCAUCGAACUAUGAUAAACAAUGAAUCACCCUUUGCCACCUUUGCUUAGAACCAAUUAGUGUGCCGGUAAACCACACACGCUCCACUAACUUCUUAGCAAGGGUGCAAAGUGUAAUUUCAUGGGAUUGCAUCAAUUCACUUUUCCUAAAGUAACUAAGAUUGGGAAAUUUUAAAAAAAUGUAGUUACUUUGUAUUUCAUAUUAUACUUUUAAUGAGAGGAUGAGGUUGCCCUAUCCUACCCGUUCGGCUAACGACCCUCCACCGAUCAAGCAAGCGGUGGGUGUGAGUGUACACCCAUUAAGCGCCAUUUUAUAGGCCGCAACCUUAUACCCACCUUAUAGAUCGGCUUCGUGAAUGAGGCCUACUAACGGUAAGACUAGCAUUUUAGUUAUACAUAUAUAUAUAUAUAAAUCUAGUAAUAUCAUAUUAGUAUAGGGUUGUAUUUUAAACCUUUUAAAAUCUAGGGUUUGAAAUUUAAGUUGUCUAAAUUAAAACUUUUAAUCACAAAUAUAAAUUUCAAAACUUGAGGGCAAGUUUUAAACAUUUAAAACAUGGAGGAUCAAAUAACAAAUAAUUCCAAUUAACAAUUAAUAUCCUAAUUAUCUAUAUUUGAUUUAUUCAAGAUUUCUUUUAAGAUAAUUACCAAAAUAAUCAAAAUAAUUAAUUAAUUAUCAUAUAAGGAAAUUAAAUAUUUUAUUAGUUGAUAAUUAUCUUUAAUUAGAUCAAGAUAAUAGUCAUAUAUAUCAAAAAAUCGGAUUAGGGUUGAUCUAAUAUGAUUAAGGUAAGUUUCCAUAAGAUAAUCAUGAAGAAAUCCCGAAUCUGGCCAUUCCUGACGCUUGGACUCGCCGAGUGCACCAAGGGACUCGCCGAGUCAGGCCAACUCGCCGAGUCCAUGACUCAGAAACACAAAAAUCGAAUUUUGCAGUUUAGUUUCAGACAAUUAAGCAACAAUUUAAUGAAAACCAAGCUAGGCUCUGAUACCACUGAUGGGUUUUAGCCAUAAGAACUUUCCUAUGUGCGCAUGCAAAACCCUAAUGCUUGGAUCUAGGCUUUCUAAUUAAACAUGCUUUGAAUCCAAGACUUCUAAUGACUAAUUAGGUUAAAUAACAACAUUGAAACAGAUCUAGAACCAUACCUUUGAAUUCCUUGUUGAUCUUGUUGUCUUGGAGCUUCUAGAGUCACAAUUGUCACUCCUCUAAUGGCUUACAAACACCAAUAGCAAGGAAGAUGAUUUAGGAGAGAGGAGAGGGGAGGAAAUCGGCCAGGGUUCUCUUACUUUAGGUGAGGUGCCGAUUUCCCUUAGCCAUGGGGUCUAUUUAUACUUGUAGACUCCUUAAGGGUUACAACCUAAACCCUAAUUGGAUAAUCUUCUCUUAAGGCUAUCCAAAUCCAUUCCUUAGAUAAGCCUUGGACGAAUUUAGCUAUCCUUUAGCUUCUAGAAUUCGUCCCUAGUAUAUCUAUAAGGAUUUACAGUCUAAAGCUUAACUAUCAAACAAUUGACAGUUUAUACCCCUUUAUUUAAUUAAUCUCUUUAAGUCACCAAAUUAAUUCCUAAUUAAUUUAUGACUUAUAUUAAUAAAAUAAUAAUAAUAUUAUUCCUUAUAUUAUUCUUAUAAUAUAUUAAUAAUAUUCCUUCUCUCAUUAUAAAUCAUCCUGUCAAGUUGCUAUGGCGAAGGCAACCCAAAAGGACCAUACUCAACCGGGUCAAAUACUUGCCUAAUAUAGUUGUAGUCUUAAACACUAUUCCAAUAGGAGUAUCGAUGGGUCACCACAUGGGUUUAGCCCAAUAUGAAGAACUAUGGAUCAUUAGCCCACUAUAUAAGAAUGAAUGACUUACCAAAUCAAUCCUCAUUUAUUUAAUUAGUCUCUUUUGAUCACAAAAUUAAUUCCAAACUAAUUAUUGAUCAAUACUAAUUAAAUAAUUCAUAUUAAUAUAUUAGAACGUAUAAUAUAUUAAUAAACCAUAAAUGUCAUAUUCUCACAAAAGUCUAUCCAAAUUGUUCCGAUGCCAUGAAACCCAAAUGGACCAUGCCAAAUCGGGUCAAGUACAUACCAAAUAUAGUUAUUGACUUAGACACCUUAUCCAACAGUCUUCCACUUAGAUAAGUCUAAUAACAAUAGUUGCAAGUAAGACUUCAGGAUCCGACCAGCAAUCGUAACUCUUUAAAAGUCUUGCGAAACUACGUUGUGCCAUUUUAGAUAAGUGAUCAUAUAAUCCUUUGUUCAAGAUACCAGCCAGACAAAUACAUGGAACAACAUCGUACUUAUUAACCAACAGUUUGUUUCCUGAUUUCCGAUUUGUUUGACAUAGAACUUAAUCGAACACAUCAAUUUAGUUUUGACCAGUCCUGACACAUAACUUAAAACAAAAUCAUCGAUGGGCCCAAGAUAUCGAUUUUAAUCCUCCAAGGACUAAAAGGAACAGAUAAACUUCGACUCAUAUGCUUGUACUAACUAAUCAUCAAAUUGUACACAACAACACGUUUUAUAACAUCAAGUUACCGAUGCAUUUUUGUACUAUCGGUGUACAACCAAAUCAUAGUCAACAACUCAUAUCUCUUGGUUUGAAGACUUAUAUGCUAUUACCGUCUCACGAUCACUCGAGAUAAAUUCCAUGAAGUGAUACAAGUGAGCGUGGGUUGAAUCCAAUACUCAGAACUUAUGAGCACUCAUGAAUGUUGCAGCAACAAUUGCUAUGCCUAAUAAAAUUCAGACAAAUCUACAAAAACCAAUUCAUGACAGUCUUAUUUCAACAGCUACUUCCAAAGUAUGAUCGACUGUGGAUAGUUUGAAUAAUAUGAUAUACCAUAACAUAAUUAUUUUGGAAGUCAAAACAUGCAAAAUGAAACAAUAGUAAAUGAUUGACACAAGAUAGUACCAUACUAGUAAAUAAAACCACCUUUUAUUUAAACAUCAAUUGUCAAUUACAUUCCAACUAUUAAAAGUUUCGAAAACUAUCUAAUUACUAAAACUAAUAUCAUCCUUCAGCCCAAUGCACCUCGCAUGUUGUAAAUGUUUAACCAUGCACAGUCCCUUCGUGAGGGGAUCUGAUGGGUUCUCAUCUGAUGAUACCCUCUUUGCAACAAGGAGUCCUUAUUCUAUUCGAUGUCUAAUGAAGUGGUAUUUUCUGUCGAUGUGCCUGGAUCUGUUGUGAUCCCUUGGUUCCUUGGCUAGGACAACUGCGCUCUCAUUAUCACAUAAAAUCUCCAUAGGCUCCUUUAUAGUUGGUACAACUCCAAGGUCUCCAAUGAAGUUCUUCAGCCAUAUUGUCUCCUUCGCCGCCUCGCUUGCUGUUAUAUACUCUGAUUCGCAAGUUGAAUCAGCCACUGUCUAUUACUUUGAACUUGUCCAAGUAAUUGCUCCUCCAUUUAGGGUAAAGAUCCAGCUCGACUAAGAGCGGAAAUUAUCCCUGUCAGUCUGAAAGCUAGCAUCGCUAUACCCCACUACUCUCAAGUCAUCACUCCCACCAAGGGUAAGGACCCAGUCCUUAGUCCUCUGCAGGUCCUUGAGAAUGUUCUUUACCACAGUCCAGUGAGCCUUGCUAGGAUUCCCUUGAUAUCUGCUGACCAUGCUCAAAGAAAAGGCCACAUCAUGGCGAGUACAAGUCAUAGCAUACAUGAUUGAGCCUACAUCAUAAGCGUAUGGUACUCGACUCAUCUCAGCUAUCUCAGCCUCUAUACUUGGGCUCUAAAUCUUACUCAGUUUGGCAUUACUCUAGAUCAGUAAGUCACUUUUCUUGGAAUCCUGCAUUCUGAAUCUUUUCAACACCUUAUCCAAGUAGGUACUUUGACUAAGUCCAAUUAGUCUCUUACUCCUGUCUCUUAAUAUCCUUAUCCCUAGGAUAUAGGCAGCUUCUCCAAGGUCCUUCAUAGCGAAACACUUCCCAAGCCAGGACUUAACCUCCUACUUGGGAUGUCAUUUCCUAUGAGUAGUAUGUUAUCCACAUACAAUACCAAAAAGCAAACUAUACUCCCACUAGCCUUAACAUAUACACAUGAUUCAUCCUCGCUCCUCGAAAAUCCAAACUCUUUGACUUUAUCAUCGAAACAAAAAUUCGAUCUGCGAGAUGCUUGUUCUAAUCCAUAAAUGGAUUUCUCAAGCUUACACACUCUAUUAGGGUACUUUUGUAACAUCCCAAAACUCAAGUCUAAAAGUUUCAUUUUUGAAUUAAUAAUUUUUAAAACAUUUCACCAUAACAUUGUCAAUAAACCCACACAUUACAAAAUCAUAAUAUUGGGUCCCAAUCACGACAUCAAAAUAGUUAAAAUCAGAGUGCAAUCCCAGAAAAUCCGAUACGGAAUCAUGUGUGUGUGUGUGUGCGAUGCUACGCCGCCAGCUCCUUCCCCUUAGACGAAGAGGUACCUGAAACCAAAACAGAAACCGUAAGCACAAAGGUUAGUGAGUUCCCCCAUCAUACCACAUACCAUACAAUAUUGUCAGUAUCUUUCAACCGGUAACUUCCAUCGGUAUCUUUCAACCGGUAAUCGUCAUCGGUAUCUUUCAACCGGUAAUCAUCAUCGGUAUAUUUCAACCGGUAACUGUCAUCAAUAUCUUUCAACCGGUAACUGUCAUCAGUAUCUUUCAACCGGUAACUAGGGACUAUUCCACCCCCUACCACUAGCAUGCAACAUCAAGAUAUAACAUACAGUCAGGCAUAUUCAGGUACUGACCUACCCUUCGGUCCUAAGGACCACUGUCAAGGAAACUGAUCCUUACUAUACACAUAACAUAUCAUACAGAUAAAUCUCAUCACCAAGGCACAUAACCAGACCAAGAUAAUUAUCACAAAGAUAAUCAUCUCCUAACUAUUCCUCUUUGGUGGGCCGACAUUAUGGCCUUAGACCCACCCCUACUGGAAGGUAACUCACCUCGUACGAGUAGCAGCUGAAAAUCUGCGCUGGAAACCUCUGUCUGCUGUUGCUCCGGAAAUCCUCCGGCUAUAAUCCCUACAAAACACUCAGUCAGAAUCUAAUAUCUACUCUUAGGGUAAAUUGACUGUUUUACCCCUAACCAAGUCCAAGUCAAAGUCAACUUCCAGUUGACCCGACUCGCCGAGUUGGGACGUCAACUCGUCGAGUCCCUACCCUUUACUCGUCCUUAUCCAUGACUCAACUCGUCGAGUUCCCCUUUUUUAUGAACAUCAAUGAACCUUCAUCCGACUCGUCGAGUUGUAUGAACAACUGGUCGAGUUCACCUUCAUAUGAUGAACAAGUCCUGACCUUGACUCGCCGAGUUGUAUGAACAACUCGUCGAGUUCAUCUUCAAACAUAAGAAGAUUGCCUUGGACUUGCCGAGUCUGUUCUAGCACUCGUCGAGUCCCAUAAGCUCCAGGUCUAAAACUAAGUCCAAUGCGUUGGAUCACUCCUUCUGUCCUGCUAAAACCCUUCUAACACCCAACUGAGUUCUUUUGACCCUCAAAAAAUAUGGGACUCAAAGCCUUGGACUCGUCGAGUCCUGAAGAAUGGACUCGCCAAGUCGAUAACGUCCACACCCUAAAUCCUCGAUUUGAUGUACAACACUUGUCCAAAUGAUAGAUCCAGGCCCCUAAGCUCGAUCUAGCACGUAAAGUUAUGAACUUUACGUGCAUGCAUGGGACUUUUGAGCCAAAAAGGCCCUAAAAUGGCUCUUUUUUUGCAUGGGGCCUUCCUUGGGUGCAAAAGCAACCCAAAUCUGUCUUGUGACUCUUCCCAAGUGCUAGAUCUGAAGUAUCGACCCCCAACCAUGUUUGCAAAUCAUGGUUGGUCACCUCAUAUGGACCCACAAAAAUCACUCAAAAGCCUUAGAUCUUGCACCAAAACACUUAGGGUUUGCUAUGGAGGGUCUUUGGGAGCAUUAUGGAUGAGUGGUGGCUGAAAGAGAUGAUUAAAUAGGGUGCAAACCCUCAUAUUAGGGUUUUGUCCAGUUAGAGCCUACUCGUUGAGUUUGGCCGCGGACUCGACGAGUCCAUCACUUAAGUCCCGUGUCCAAUCCCACUCCUACUCGAUGAGUUGAGCCUUCAACAAGCCGAGUCCCAGGCCAAAAAUGCAAAAUACAACAAAAUAAAUUACAUACCAGGAACCAAGUGCUACAACUUUGCAUCAACAAAACCCUAUGGAUGACUCAUGUAAACCCUCAGCGAACAUUCCAUUAAGGAAAGCAGUUUUGACAUCCAUUUGCCAUAUUUCAUAAUCAUGAAAUGCAGCUAUGGAUAACAUAACCCUAAUAGACUUAAUCUUCGCUACUAGUGAGAAGGUUUCAUCAUAAUCAACUCCCAGAGUUUGAGUAAAGCCCUUCGCAACCAGUCGUACUUUAUAAGUGUUUACAUUCCCAUCCAUGUCGGUCUUCUUCUUGAAGAUCCAUUUGCACCCAACUGUCUUACGACCCGAUACAUUGUCAACCAAGUUCCAAAAUUGAUUGUCAUACAUGGACUGAAUCUCACUAUCCAAAGCCUCUAUCCAUUUGGCAGAUUCAAGGCUUGCCAUGGCUUCCUUGAAGUUGUUAGGUUCAUCCAAAUUUACCAUUGUGCUAUCACUGAUAAAUGCAUCACCUUUUGUAGUAAUAUGGAAACCAUAAUAAAAACCAGGUGUGUUCCCAACUCUUGUGGAACGCCUCAGAGGUACAGACUCAUCAAUUGGCUCAAUAGGAGUUUCCUCCUCAGGUUGAUUACUAGUGUUUGAGGUUCCUUUACCGCUUGACUCUUGAAGUUCUUCAAGGUCAAUUUGCCUCCCCCUGUUUCUAUUAGGGUGCAAAGUCACGCUUGGAUGAGGCUUUACCCACUUGUAUGUGUAAUGAGUUGCCUUUCCUUUAUAAGGAAGUGAGUGGCACUCAUUUUAUGUAAGGAACCAUUUUGGAGUGUUAGACUAGAGAGAGAAACUUUGUACAAACCCAUUUGUAUAUUCUUUCUAGAUCUAAUAAGAGCUUACAAAGAUUUAUUUACUCCUUGUGUUCAUUAUUUUACAUGAUGAUUCACUAGAUCUUUCAUAUUCCACACAUGCCAUCAUAAUCAACACCACUUCAAUUGGUAUCAUAGCAGGAAUCGUAACUGCGAUCUGAUUUUCAGUUGAAUCUUUUAUUUUUGAGUCGUAAAGUUUAACUCAAAAAUUUCCGCACUAUUAGAUUCAGAAAAUCAUCUAUGAUCAUCAGUUUUGAUUUGAUUGGCAUAGUCGAGUGUUUGAUUUUGAGUUUCUGAUUAAUUCAUUCAAUCAUAUUCAAAUUUAUUCAAGUUUUCUGAAAAUUCUUAUUCGUACGAUAAUGGCGAACUUCAAUAUGAACACAAUGACUUCUUUCUCUCAUUUGUUAGGAUCUUCCACAAAGAUUUCUAUGUUGAUUCCGAAGUAUUAUGACCAAUGGGCUGAUCACCUGGAGGAUUAUCUAAAUGGUUUGGAUGAAGAACUAUGGAGUUGUAUCUCAGGAACUGCUCAACCUCCAUUGAAUGUUCAAAACAUUGGAUCUUCAAAUUCCACACCGGCUGUUGAUGAACAAUCCACAAGGAAGAAGAAAAAUGAAAAACGUUGUCUGAGAGAAUUAAGAGGUGCACUGCCUCCUGUGGUUUACAAUUACGUGUGUGGUUGUAAAAGUGCAAAGGAAAUCUAGAAUACUCUCAAGGAGAAAUAUCAGGAAAGCGAGAAGACUAAAAUCAAUUCAGUUAACCAAUGUCUUGUGGAACUGAAAGAAUUCAUACAAAAGGAGAGUGAAACAAUUGAAGUUUACUAUGAUCGCCUAAAUGAGCUGAUUUAUUAGUACAAUCGAUAUGGAAUCACGAGGUAUGCUAUGGAAUUUAAUCUUACAUUCGUUAUGGGACUCCGUAGAGAAUGGAGGAGUGUUAGCAUGAUGGUAAAGAAUCAACAGAGUUUCUACACAUCAUCUCUAAAUGAUUUGUACAAUCAACUGAAAACUCACAAAAGUGAGAUGAAUGAAAUGACAUAAGAGUCGAAGCUCAGUCUGGGAGGUCCUUUAGCACUUGUCUCUAAAGUGUCUGAAAAGGAAGCAGUCGAAAAUUAUGAUUCUGAUGAUGAAGAGGGGUUCACCAUGAAUUCAGAUGAUGAGGCAAUAACUUUGUAUUUGAACAACAGAGUCAAAAAGUUUUUCAAGAAACCAUUUAAUCCAAAAAUGAAGCAAAGUGAGGGAAAGGAAGUUUCGUAAAAUAUACUGUUAGAGAGGAGAAAAAGAAGUUUGAUAAGAAUGAUGGGAAUGUUGCCGAGGGUAAGAAUGAGAGGAAGUCGAAAGGAGACUCGGGUGUGGAUUGCCAUUAUUGCAACGGAGAAAAUCAUAUAGCAAAUGAUGGUGUGCUUCGUAAGAAGGAUGAAAGAAAGAACAAAGUGAAGGACGAAGCAUACUAUGCUGAGAAGCUAGAGGAAGUGAGAGCUAAGGCGAAGAAUAUGUCUUUGGUGGCUAGAGGUGAACAGGAGGAUGACGGUACUUAUCAAAUUUGGUCUUCGGGCUCAGAUGAUGAAGAAAUGUGUAAUCCUACGCAUGGUGCCAUGUAUGUGAAGCUGGAGGAAGAUGAUGGGCUUUAGCCAUAAGAACUUUCCUAUGUGCGCAUGCAAAACCCUAAUGCUUGGAUCUAGGCUUUCUAAUUAAACAUGCUUUAAAUCCAAGACUUCUAAUGACUAAUUAGGUUAAAUAACAACAUUGAAACAGAUCUAGAACCAUACCUUUGAAUUCCUUGUUGAUCUUGUAGUCCUGGAGCUUCUAGAGUCACAAAUGUCACUCCUCUAAUGGCUUACAAACACCAAUAGCAAGGAAGAUGUUUUAGGAGAGAGGAGAGGGGAGGAAAUCGGCCAGGGUUCUCUUACUUUAGGUGAGGUGCCGAUUUCCCUUAGCCAUGGGGUCUAUUUAUACUUGUAGACUCCUUAAGGGUUACAAUCUAAACCCUAAUUGGAUAAUCUUCUCUUAAAGCUAUCCAAAUCCAUUCCAUAGAUAAGUCUUGGACGAUUUUGAAGCUAUCCUAGCUUCUAGAAUCCGUCCCUUGUAUAUCUAUAUGGAUUUACAGUCUAAAGCUUAACUAUCAAACAAUUGACAGUUUAUACCCCUUUAUUUAAUUAAUCUCUUUAAGUCACCAAAUUAAUUCUAAUUAAUUCUAUGACUUAUAUUAAUCAAAUAACAAUAUAUUAUUCUUUAUAUUAUUCUCAUAAUAUAUUAAUAAUAUUUAUUCUCUCUUAAUAAAUCAUCCUAUCAAGUUGCUAUGGUGAAGGCAACCCAAAAGGACCAUGCACAACCGGGUCAAAUACUUGCCUAAUAUAGUUGCAGCCUUAGACACUAUUCCAACAGUCUCCCACUUGGAUAAGUCUAGUAACUAUAUGCACAAGUACAAUUCGGUUUGCAAUCGUAGCUCUCAAAGACGCUGUCAAACUCUGAUCUAAUCAAUCUUGUCCUUUAGAUAAGGGAUCGUACAGUCCUCUGUUAGAUAUCAUGCUGACAAUCCUAUGGAAUGGUUAGUCAAGCAUUUAGGUUUCUCGAUCUCUGAUUUAUUUGACAUAGAACUUAAUCGAACACAUCAAUUCAGUUCUGACCGGGCCCGGCACAUAAGUCAAAUCAAAUCAUCGAGCGGCCGAGAUAUCGCUUUUACCUUCUUAGAUAAAAGUUACAGAUAAACUUCGACUUAUAUGCAUUUACUUAUUCAUUAACCAACUAUACACAACAAUACGUUUUAUAACACCAAGUUACUGAUGCGUUUUCGUAUUAUCAAUGUACAAUCAAUUAACAAAUAAUAAACCAUAUAUCUAGGUUUUAAGACUAUAUGAUAUUAUCGUCUUGCGAUCACCUUUUAUAUCGUAUUCCAUAAGGUGAUUCCAGCAAGCGCGGGUUUAUUCCAAUGCUCAAAACUAGUUCAUAAGCACUCAUGAACGUUGCAGCAAUCCUUUGCUAUGUCUAACACCAUUUAGACAUUCUACACACCAAUUCAUGACAAUCUUCUUUCAUAUCUACUCCCAACAUAUGAACGAUUGUGGACCAUUUGAACAAUUCGAUUAUUCCUAAUAAACUCAAUUAUUCUGGAAGUCAAAACAUGCAAAGUGAAACAAUAGCUAAACAAUUAACAUAAGAUAGUAACAUUACUCAUAAAUAAAACUCCUUUAUUUAAUCAUCAAAUGUCAAUUACAUUUAUCUAUUACACGUUUCUAAUACUAUCUAAUCUAUGCUAAUAUCAUCCUUCAGCCCAAUACUCCUAGCAUGCUGCAAGUGCUUAACCCUACUCAGUCCCUUCGUAAGCGGAUCUGCUGGGUUAUCUUCUGAUGAUAUCCUCUUCACUACGAGUUGUCCUUCUUCUACACGAUGUCUAAUGAAGUGAUAUUUUCUGUCGAUAUGUCUUGAUCUACCAUGAUCCCUCGGUUCCUUGGUCAAGGCAACCGCGCCUUCGUUAUCACAGAAAAUCUCCAUUGGCUCCUUUAUGGCAGGUACAACUCCAAGAUCACCGAUGAAGUUCUUUAGCCAUAUUGCCUCCUUCGACGCUUCGCUCGCUGCAAUGUACUCUGAUUCGCACGUUGAAUCAGCUACGGUUUCCUGCUUGGAACUCUUCCAUGUCACUGCUCCUCCAUUUAGGGUAAAGACCCAGCCCGACUGCGAACGGUAGUUGUCCCUGUCGGUCUGAAAACUGGCGUCACUAUACCCUCGCACCUUCAAGUCAUCACUCCCUCCGAGGACUAAGAACCAUUCCUUCGUCCUCCGAAGGUACUUAAGGAUAUUCUUCACCGCAAUCCAAUGUGCUUUGCCAGGAUUCCCUUGAUAUCUGCUAACCAUGCUCAAAGCGAAGGCUACAUCAGGGCGAGUACAAGUCAUAGCGUACAUGAUUGAGCCAACUGCGGAAGCGUAUGGUACUCGGCUCAUUUCUGCUAUCUCAGCUUCGGUACUCGGACUUUGAGUCUUACUCAAUUUGGCAUUACUUUGUAUCGGUAGUUCUCCCUUCUUUGAGUUUUCCAUACUAAAACGUUUUAGUACCUUCUCUAAGUAAGUAUUCUGACUAAGUCCAAUUAGUCUCUUACUUCUUUCUCUUACUAUCCUUAUUCCCAAAAUGUAAGAAGCCUCUCCGAGGUCCUUCAUAGCGAAGCACUUCCCGAGCCAGGACUUAACUUCCUGCAGAGUCGGGAUGUCGUUUCCUAUGAGUAAUAUGUCAUCGACAUAUAGAACGAGGAAGCUUACUAUACUCCCACUGGCUUUGACAUAUACACAAGAUUCGUCUUCGCUUCGUACAAAUCCAAACUCUUUGACUUUCUCAUCGAAGCAAAGAUUCCAUCUGCGAGACGCUUGCUUAAGUCCAUAAAUGGACUUCUCAAGCUUACACACUCUAUUCGGAUGCUUCGGAUCCACAAACCCCUCUGGCUGAGCCAUGUAAACAUCCUCAGCCAACUUUCCGUUAAGGAAAGCGGUCUUGACAUCCAUUUGCCAAAUCUCAUAAUCAUGAAAUGCGGCAAUUGCUAGCAUCACUCUAAUAGAUUUAAUCUUCGCAACUGGUGAGAAGGUCUCAUCAUAGUCAACUCCGGGAGUUUGAGUAAAGCCCUUCGCAACCAAUCGCGCUUUAUAUGUGUGUACGUUUCCAUCCACGUCGGUCUUCUUCUUGAAGAUCCAUUUGCACCCAACGGUCUUACGUCCGGGCACAUAAUCAACCAAAUUCCAAACUUGGUUAUCAUACAUGGAUUGGAUCUCGCUAUCCAUUGCCUCUUUCCAUUUUGCAGACUCCGGGCCUGCCAUGGCUUCCUUAUAGCUAUUAGGUUCAUCAAGAUUUAUUAGUGUACCAUCACUAAUAUACGUGUCCCCUUCGGUAGUAAUAUGAAAACCAUAAAACUGGGGUUGAACUCUAACUCUAUCGGAACGUCUAAGAGGUAAGGAUUCGUCAAUCGGUUCAACCGGAGUUUCCUCCUCGGGUUGAGUGCCAGCGGUAGAGGUUCCUUCAUCUAUCGACUCUUGAAUCUCUUCAAGCUCGAUUUGCCUCCCACUGUCUCCUUGGCUUAUGAGUUCUCGCUCUCGGAAAACUCCUCUCCUCGCAACGAAGACAACAUUGUCCUUCGGUCUAUAGAAGAGAUAUCCAAAGGAUGUCUGCGGGUAGCCGAUGAAAAUACAUCGCUCACUUCGAGGUUCAAGCUUGUCGUGAGUAUCUCGUCUUACGAAAGCCUCGCAACCCCAAACCUUGAUAUGUGCCAACGAGGGAGCUUUCCCUGUCCACAUCUCGUGAGGUGUUUUGGCAACCUUCUUAGUAGGGACUCGGUUAAGGAUAUGGGCGGCAGUCUCUAAGGCAUACCCCCAAAAAGAGAUAGGUAGUGAAGCACGACUCAUCAUAGAGCGAACCAUAUCCAAUAAGGUUCGAUUACGCCUUUCUGCCACACCAUUCAACUGCGGUGUCCUAGGAGGCGUCAAUUGCGAAACUAUUCCACACUCCUUGAGAUAAUCGUGGAAUUCAAGACUUAGGUACUCUCCUCCUCGAUCGGAUCGAAGCAUCUUGAUUUUCCUGCCCAAUUGAUUCUCCACUUCAUUCUUGAACUCUUUGAACUUUUCAAAGGUGUCUGACUUUUGCUUGAUUAAGUAGAUAUACCCAUAUCUACUAUAGUCAUCGGUAAAAGUCACAUAGAAGCGGUUCCCAUCCUUCGUGGUUGAUCUAAACGGUCCACAUACAUCGGUAUGUAUUAGGUCCAAUAGACCCUCGCCCCUUUCACAUGUACUCGUGAAGGGUGACUUAGUCAUCUUUCCAAGCAAACAAGACUCGCAUGUGUCAUCUUCCCUAAGGUCGAAUGACUCCAACACUCCAUCCUUUUGGAGUUGGGCUAUGCGUUUCUUGUUGACAUGUCCAAGACGACAAUGCCACAAGGAUGCUUUAUCCAUACUAGUGGAAGAAUCAAUAUUCAAAACAUCAUUUCCUAAGUUAUCAACAAUCAUAACGGUUUCAUAUAUUCCAUUACAUGGUAUAGCUUCAAAGUAAAAGACACCAUUUAGAUAAGCCAAAAUAGAACCAUUCUCAUUAUUAAAAGAAAAUCUAAAUCCUUGUCUAUAUAAACCAUGAAAUGAAAUGAUGUUUCUUGCCAUUUCUGGCGAAUAGCAACAAUUGUUCAAAUCUAAAACUAAACUAUUCCUAAGCACUAAGGAAUACACUCCAAUCUUGGUCACAGGCGACGAUCUUCUGUUCCCCAUGAUUAGAUUGAUCCUUCCUUGCUCCACAUCCCUACUUCUUCUUAGUCCCUGCACAUUAGAACAAAUGUGGUAACCACAACCGGUAUCAAGAACCCAAGAAAUAGCAUGAUUAGAAUCGUUAGAUUUAAUUGUGUAUAUACCUGCGAAAGAUGGCUUGAUCUUGACUUCUUUGAUGGCUUGCAGGUAUUCUGGGCAGCUUCUCUUCCAACGCUUAGCGGGAUCAACUUUGGUCCCACUAGAAGAGGCACCAUCUUGGGCUUUGACCUUGCGAUAGUUCUUAGAUGAAGCUUUCCUCUUCUUUCCCUUCCCUUGUCCAAUAGCCAAGACAGGAGCAGCGGGCGGAUUGGGAGUAGGUGCAACAGACUUGUCCUUGAAGUUGCUCUCAGCGACCCUCAAGAGACCUUGGAGUUUGCUUAGGGUGACCUCUUCUUUGUUCAUGUGGUAGGUCAUCCUAAAUUGGUUGUACAUCGGAGGCAAAGAGUGAAGCACCAUGUCGAUCGCCAAGUCUUCCCCGAAGUCAACAUUUAACUUGCGAAGGCGGUCGACAUACCUUUGCAUCUUUUGCAGGUGCACGGUAAGAGAUUCUCCAUGACCCAUCUUAGCGGAAAUCAUGUUAGUGAAAAUCUCAUAACGCUCUUGUCUCGCGUUUUGGUGGUACCUCUCCAAUAAGUCUUGGUGCAUCUCGUACGGGUACAUGUCCUCGUAGGACUUUUGGAAUUCGGAGUUCAUGGUAGCAAUCAUGAUGCAAUGUACCUUCGUUGCAUCUCGCUCAUGAGUCUCAAAAGCGGUGAUUUCGGCUGGAGUAGAGAUUGCAUGGUUGAUUUUCUCGAGCAUCUCAUCGAGGACAUACUCCUUAUCCUCGUAGUGAGCAAUGGUGCGAAUGUAUCUUAUCCAUUCGCUAAAGUUCGUUCCAUCGAAGGUGACCUUUUGGCAAAGGCUCAUCAACAUGAAAGAACUAGCAGCAGUGUUGUUUGCAUUCGACAUCUACAAAUAGAAAAGACAAAGAUAGAUUAGAAUAUGAAUCCCUAAUUAUCACCCAAUAAGAAAAAAUUAGGGCUAGGAUCCAACAACAAUAUUUACAUAUUAGAAAAGGGAUGCCGUAAUCUAACAUGCAAAUAAAUUGAAGGUAAGUGAAUGACGAUUCACUAAUUCUCCAUCACAAAAACUUAAACUAUUAGUCCUAAGUGUUUUUGAGAAUUCCUAGGUUCGGAUGAGAUUCAUUGAAACUAUUCAAUGGCAUGUUUAAAUCUCGAUAUGCCCCUCUUGUUUGUGACUGGGAUGCCGAGGAUCACAAAGCGGGUGUGAAUUACCAUGCAAAUUCACAUGGUGCCUUCAUUGUAACGAUCACCUAUUCGAUGUGCCGGUAAACCACACACGCUCCAUCGAACUAUGAUAAACAAUGAAUCACCCUUUGCCACCUUCGCUUAGAACCAAUUAGUGUGCCGGUAAACCACACACGCUCCACUAACUUCUUAGCAAGGGUGCAAAGUGUAAUUUCAUGGGAUUGCAUCAAUUCACUUUUCCUAAAGUAACUAAGAUUGGGAAAUUUUAAAAAAUGUGUAGUUACUUUGUAUUACUUAUUAUACUUUUAAUGAGAGGAUGAGGUUGCCCUAUCCUACCCGUUCGGCUAACGACCCUCCACCAAUCAAGCAAGCGGUGGGUGUGAGUGUACACCCAUUAAGCGCCAUUUUAUAGGCCGCAACCUUAUACCCACCUUAUAGAUCGGCUUCGUGAAUGAGGCCUACUAACGGUAAGACUAGCAUUUAGU
RNAcentral lists this long non-coding RNA (17030 nucleotides) under Lactuca sativa (garden lettuce). RNAcentral describes it as "long non-coding RNA (LSAT_LNC004735)". Lineage: Eukaryota; Viridiplantae; Streptophyta; Magnoliopsida; Asterales; Asteraceae. The record is from RNAcentral.